GAUGAACGCUGGCGGCGUGCCUAAUACAUGCAAGUCGAGCGAACGGGCGAGAAGCUUGCUUCUCUGAUGUUAGCGGCGGACGGGUGAGUAACACGUGGAUAACCUACCUAUAAGACUGGGAUAACUUCGGGAAACCGGAGCUAAUACCGGAUGAUAUUUUGAACCGCAUGGUUCAAAAGUGAAAGACGGUCUUGCUGUCACUUAUAGAUGGAUCCGCGCUGCAUUAGCUAGUUGGUAAGGUAACGGCUUACCAAGGCAACGAUGCAUAGCCGACCUGAGAGGGUGAUCGGCCACACUGGAACUGAGACACGAUCCAGACUCCUACGGGAGGCAGCAGUAGGGAAUCUUCCGCAAUGGGCGAAAGCCUGACGGAGCAACGCCGCGUGAGUGAUGAAGGUCUUCGGAUCGUAAAACUCUGUUAUUAGGGAAGAACAUAUGUGUAAGUAACUGUGCACAUCUUGACGGUACCUAAUCAGAAAGCCACGGCUAACUACGUG
This 497-nucleotide ribosomal RNA is filed under the name uncultured bacterium. RNAcentral's name for it is "partial 16S ribosomal RNA". It matches the Rfam family "Bacterial small subunit ribosomal RNA", at positions 28 to 507 of the family's 1533-position model. The record is from RNAcentral.